CCGGUAAACGGCGGCCGUAACUAUAACGGUCCUAAGGUAGCGAAAUUCCUUGUCGGGUAAGUUCCGACCUGCACGAAUGGCGUAAUGAUGGCCAGGCUGUCUCCACCCGAGACUCAGUGAAAUUGAACUCGCUGUGAAGAUGCAGUGUACCCGCGGCAAGACGGAAAGACCCCGUGAACCUUUACUAUAGCUUGACACUGAACAUUGAGCCUUGAUGUGUAGGAUAGGUGGGAGGCUUUGAAGUGUGGACGCCAGUCUGCAUGGAGCCGACCUUGAAAUACCACCCUUUAAUGUUUGAUGUUCUAACGUUGACCCGUAAUCCGGGUUGCGGACAGUGUCUGGUGGGUAGUUUGACUGGGGCGGUCUCCUCCUAAAGAGUAACGGAGGAGCACGAAGGUUGGCUAAUCCUGGUCGGACAUCAGGAGGUUAGUGCAAUGGCAUAAGCCAGCUUGACUGCGAGCGUGACGGCGCGAGCAGGUGCGAAAGCAGGUCAUAGUGAUCCGGUGGUUCUGAAUGGAAGGGCCAUCGCUCAACGGAUAAAAGGUACUCCGGGGAUAACAGGCUGAUACCGCCCAAGAGUUCAUAUCGACGGCGGUGUUUGGCACCUCGAUGUCGGCUCAUCACAUCCUGGGGCUGAAGUAGGUCCCAAGGGUAUGGCUGUUCGCCAUUUAAAGUGGUACGCGAGCUGGGUUUAGAACGUCGUGAGACAGUUCGGUCCCUAUCUGCCGUGGGCGCUGGAGAACUGAGGGGGGC
This 753-nucleotide ribosomal RNA is filed under the name Escherichia coli. Its description in RNAcentral is "partial 23S ribosomal RNA". It matches the Rfam family "Bacterial large subunit ribosomal RNA", at positions 1920 to 2672 of the family's 2925-position model. The record is from RNAcentral. Lineage: Bacteria; Pseudomonadati; Pseudomonadota; Gammaproteobacteria; Enterobacterales; Enterobacteriaceae.